Non-coding RNA from Obelidium mucronatum, 72 nucleotides. The record is from the annotation of a GenBank genome assembly. NCBI's taxonomy places the organism in Eukaryota, Fungi, Chytridiomycota, Chytridiomycetes, Chytridiales, Chytriomycetaceae.
GCCCGUAUAGCUCAGUGGUAGAGCGUUGCACUUGUAAUGCAAAGGUCCGUGGAUCAACCCCGCGUGUGGGCA